This 11065-nucleotide long non-coding RNA is filed under the name Homo sapiens (human). RNAcentral describes it as "non-protein coding lnc-TEC-2:2". Lineage: Eukaryota; Metazoa; Chordata; Mammalia; Primates; Hominidae. The record is from RNAcentral.
AGCCUGACAGGCGCUCCAGCUCGUCGGGCCGCAGCGGCUCCACCUCGUCCAGCAAGCCGCCCUCGCCCGCCGCUAGCAAGGAGGUGGCGUCCCGCAGCUCUUCGCUACUCGUCCGCCUCGGGCCCGACCCGGGCCCGCCGCCCGACUUGGCGCUGAGGCCCAAGGGGAAGCCCCGAGGAGACGCCGCGCCGGAGGAGGGAAUGGACGCGCCGGCCCGAACCGGGCUGCCGGGCCCAAGGGAGCCGGCGCCCUGCACGGCCCCCGAGCGGCUCCUCAGCUGUUCGUUCUGCUUCUCCAGCUUCUUCACCAGCUCCUGCAGCUUCCGCACCUCCUGGUCCGCGUUCACGUUGGAGUUAACGUCCUCCAUCCCGGCCCCGCCGCCGCCGCCGCCUCCGCCGCCCGCUCGCUCUCGCAGCGACAGGGAAAGAGACGGAGGAAAGAGGCGUCGCCGCCGCUCACUCUAGCCGAGGCGCCGGCAUAUAGCAGGACCAGGCCCCACCGCCAGGGUCCCCCCACCUCGGGUUCCAAAGCGCCGCUGGCCCCAGCCGAACUGCCUCAUCUGCGCCGGCUCCGGGAUUGGGGGAGGCGGCGCCAAUAUCCGGCCCCUGCCGCCAUCUUCCCUCCGUCCCUCCGCCCCCCGCGGGCCGGCCCAGUCGGUGACCUCAGAGCGUCGGGGGUGGACGCGGCCGCCGGCGGGCGCUGAGAGGACCCGGCGCCAGCUCGCGGCGGGGCGGGGCCACGGACGGGGCCUAUGGGGCGGGGCCGGUGCUUGAGGGGCGGGGAUUAGGCCGGAAGGGGCGUGUCGGCGGAUGUGGGACGCGGCCGGGCUGGCUAGGGAGGGUCCCUGCAGAACGGGAGGCCAGCAGAAGGCUCGCGGCGGGCGGGGCUGAGGUGGCUAACAAGGUCCUCGAACAGCCUCGCCUGUUGGUCUGGGCGUGUGGGCGUGUUCUCCACCCCUUACAGGGAGUGUGGGACCCGCGGGCCAGUCUCGCCCUUGUUCCGGGCCGGAUCUCGAGUGGGCGCUCAGCCCGGCGGUGGAGAGACAGUUUACUUUGUUCAGCAAAUAUUUAAUCGAUGCCGACUUUUAAUUGGAGAUUGUCUCGGCUGGCAGGAGCCUCUAGACUGCCUGUGUCCUGUUUCUUCCCCUGAAAAUAAGAAACCCCAGUUUCAGACAGUUAAGAGAGGUCUAAGGUCAAAAUAAUCAUAAUUUCUUGAGUGCUUCCUACUGGCCAGACAGUGUGCUAAGCACUUUUAAAGGCAUUAUCUCAUCGGUUAAAACAUAGUUUUCCCGACUUAAAGUUUACAGCACACUGGGGCGGAAGCGGGGGAUAGUAAACCGCUUCUCUACUCCCUUUCUCCGUUUAUUGACUCACACUCUGUUCUUUGGAUCACUUCCUUCGGAAAAAGUUCCUCGUAGUGUGUCUUGACUUUUUUAAAAGUUGUAUGUUAAAAGUAGUUAAACACGCUGACAGAUACUGAAGAAUGAAGAAAAUUGUAAGAAUGUGAAGUCUGCCUUUAGAAUGCGGCAGGAAACCUAAACAAAACUUAAAUGCUUUGUUUUGAUCACAUUAUCACAGUCGUUGGUCUUCAGAGGUCAAUUGUGAACGGCUUUGGCUUGUGUUUGCAGCUUUUCUUCAGUUGCCGCCUCCACCCUUAGUUUAAUAACAAUGAUCCAGUCCUGUUACACCUGAGUGUGGACUCAUGCCAUGACUGACUUGCUUCUACCCUUUAGCUUUUCUAGUGCCAUAUUCUCCGCCUGCCAUAUCUGAUUCUUUUCUUAAAUCCCAUACUCUCUCAUUCAGGAAACCUCUUCCCAACAAUUCCACAAAGAUCUAAUUAUUCUGCAUAUUCUAGCACUACGUGAUCAAUAGUUCUCAAUAGGUGUUUGCACUUUUUUUUAAAUUGCUUUUUUCUCUAAGAAUUAUUUUUCGUUUGUUUUUGUCUGUUUACUUGAUUUAAGGACACUUCAUUUUUGCUUCCCAUGUCUAGUACACUGACACAGUGGACACUCAAUACUUGGUUUGUUGAAAGUUAAGUAGACUAUAAGUUCUACUUAAAACCACGUAGCUAUUUAUUCGUAGCAAAAAACGUAUUUGUGUUAAAAGUUUGCUGGCUAACUAUAAGUCGAGUAUUUUUCUAGCUAUACAGACCUAGUCAAAGGAUGUGAUUGUUUGCUAACAUAAUUGUCAAGUAAUAUAUAUUAUCUGUGUAAUGCUCAUCUAAAUAUCAUUGCUCUUUCUGACCAGUCUGAACUUGUUGCCGGAGGGUUAAAAAUCAUGACUACUUCACGUGUAGCAGUUUUCACUUGCAUUCAAUGCUUUGUAAAAUAGAUUCCAACUAGUCAGUUUCUAUAAGGCGAACCCUUCAAAUAUACUCCUUGAAAAGAACAGUUCACCGGACAUUAUGAAGUUAGCACUAAUGUUUGUGGGGCAGGAAAAGCUGUUGUAGUGUGGAACAAUGAAUUAAGAAUCAGAAAGCCUGAUGUCGGGUUCUAGCUGUAGCAUAAAUGCACUUGACCUUGAUCGCUGCUCUCUAAUCUCUGGUCCUUAGUUUACUUUAGAAUGCGUGAGUUGGAGGAUCUCCAGUAUCUCUUCCAGGAUGAAAAAGUAAAGGAUUCUGGUGAGGCCUCAUGGUUGCAAAACAUGAGAGUGAAUAUACUUAGAUAUAUAGAGAAGUUCAUAGUGGAUAGAUAUACUUGGAUUUUUAAAUUCUAUUGCCUUACUCAAUGUCUUACCUUUUUCAUUCAAUAAAUAUUGAAUAUAUCUACUAUAUGGCAGGCACGAAUUUAGAUAUUUGGAUGUUUAAUAGGCCUCUUAAGUAUCAAACAACAUUCAGUUCAUACACACACAUACACACUACACAGCAUAUACACACGCUUAAAUCUGCUUGUCCUGUAGUCAUCACCAUUCCAAUAAAUGACAGCUCUUCUAAAUGCUCAGACCAAAAACCUUAGGAUAAUCCCUACUCCUCACUUUCUUUCACCCACCAAAUCCAAUCUUUAAGCAGGUCGUGCUGGCUCUACAUUCAAAAUAUGUCUAAUUACUUCCCAGCACCUCCACUGCUACGACUCUAAUUCAAGUUGCCAUCUUCUCUUGUCUAGAUUACAGUGGUACUCUUUUAAUGAGCUAUUCCACUUUGCUGCUUUACAGUCUCUUGUGUACAUGGCAACCAGAUGAUCUUUUGUGUAAGUCACAUCAGGUUACUCUCCUGCUCAGAAUCCUCAGAAGCAACUGGCUUCCCAACAUACUUCAAAGUCUUUUCCCUGGACUAUAGGGCUCUGGAUACUCGGCAACUUCUGCAAGUAUCUCAUUAACUAACACCUUCCCCAUCACUCUACCACACUGGCCUUCCUGAUUUUCUUCAAACAAGCCAAGCAUGUUUCUACUUUAGGAACUUUGCACUUGCUUUUCUGUCUAGGAUCUGGUUGUCAUUCACGUUAUCACAUGACUGACUCCCUCACUUCAUUCAGGUCUCUGCCCAAAUAGCACCUAAAUUCACUAUCCUCAUUAUGAUUCUCCAUAAAAUAGCAUCUGUGUCAUUCCCCAUCCUCUUAAUCCUGUUUCAUUUUUUCUCAGACACAUCUCUCUCUCUUUCUUUCCUUCCUUCCUUUUCUUUCUUUUUUUCUUCACUGCCUGUCUCUCACCAGUAGAGUGUGAACUGCAGGAGAACAGAGUUCACUGUUAUAUCUCCAGUGCUUAAAACAGUGCCUACAACAGUGCCUAGUACAUGGUAAGUGCUCAAUACAUGUUUUUUGAACGAGAGAGUUAAUGGAUUUACGCUAAGUGAAGUCUCCUAAAAGAGAAUUUCAGAUAAAUAUGGUUAUAUCUCAAAUCAUUGAAGUGGAAAUUUGUAAUUAUUUUGAAUGGUUGACUUUUAAAAUUAUAUUUUCUCCUUCCAAAAGAGCAACAUGUCAUACCAUAUAUGUCAUCCUCAAAACUAGGUCACUCUCUACCUCCUGAGAGCCAACAGCCCUUAAGAAUUGCUGAGGAGAGAGUUUUAAGUUCUCACUGAGAAGCAUAAGGACAAGAAUAUUUCCUUUCUAUCCUUAACCUUGCCAGGAUCUUCCUCUUUCAGGUUAGCUGUGAUACCCUGUCUUCUCUGGUGACUCAGAAGUGUUACAGCAUGUUUUUAAAAGUCACUCUAAGAGUGACUUUUAUAUAGCUACAAGGAGCAGAGCUAGUAGGUGUCUGAAGUAUGCAUCACAGUUAGCCCAACUAGUUUUUCAGGUGUUGUGUUUUAUGAUAAGCUUGGUUUGUUGCUGGAAGAAGGAUUUGUUUCUUUUCUAAGCAGGUGUGGCCCAUUUUCAUAACUUGCUCCUACAUGCAUGUUAGCUCUUAGUGAAACUCCUGACAAAGUGGAAAAUAUUACAAACCACUAAAAGUAUUUGGAAUGAAAAACUGUUACUCAAUGGCUUAAAGAUAUUUAGCCAUCCUAAAAUCCUAAAUCAAGGUGUGUGUGUGUGUGUCUAUAUAAGCACAUGCUAAAAAGUAGUUUAGAAAUUGCUAGACACAGAAAUAUUUGCAUUUCCUUAGAAAAUGCUCAGAUUCUUUGACAAAACCUUUGCUAUCCAAUCCAUCCAUUUUUUAACAUAACAGAUCAUUUCACUAGACAGUCCAUCCGUUUAAUCUUCAUAGGUACACAUGGUCAGUUAUUUUCUACUUACCCUCUUUCAUCUAUUCCUCACCAGCAUCCCUCCUCCAGAUGUGCCUCCCUUUGAUCUAUCAAACGGCCCCUUCUUCACUGUCUUGGUACAAUACAAUUUUACAAAGGAGUCCCAGGAACCUUAAAGGUUAAGUAUAUGAGAAAUUUUGAAUUGAACGCUUGGUGGCAAAAUGAAGGGGGGCUUUUUUAGGGAGAUUCUCUGUCUAGAGGGUGGUCCCCUAUCACACUGUUGGGGGCAUAUAUUAUAUAGAUGUAGGGGUGGGUAAGUCCGUGAUCAGAGCAAAGGGUGAACAGGUUCUUGAACUGUUAGGAAGCUACCCAAAAUGAAACAAUACCGUGUCUUCCACCCUUUUUCUGGCAGCAGAUGGGAAGAUAAGCUCUUAAAUAACAUUUAUUAUUUCUUUUUUUUUCUUUAAGUAGUAUAUCAGUAGGACAGUGAAGUUGGAAGAGUGGAAUAUGAACCACUUCUGAACGUGUUUGAUGUUCUACAGAAACUACUAUUCAAAGAUGGAAGAAAACUUGGAAUAAUCCAAAUAUUCAAGUCAAUAAGAUAAGUCCCAAUAAUCUGCCCUAGGAUUUAAAAUACAUUAUUCUGAGUAUUGACUUAGAGAUACAGUGGAGAGAGUAGAUUAUACAUAGAGACUUGUAUCAAGCAAAAGUAAAUUAAGCUGCCAUUGAGAUACUUAAAUAAUUAGUCUUCUAGGAAGCUGUAGAGAAUUCCAUUUCUGAGUCUUUGGAAAACUCCUGGAGUAUUACCCCGACUGACAUCAUCAACUAUUCAAUUUGCCCAAGUAUGUCUACAAAGUUACUUUCUAUUCAUCAUCCUUCUUAUGUAAACAGUUAUAUGUGCCCUGGAAGUUUAAUUCUAUAAAUAUCCAGUUCUCCAAAUUGGCCCAAUAAUAAUAGUAGCUAAUAGUUGUUAACCACUUUUAUGACAUGUGAUAAUUCAUUUAAAACUCACAAUAGUCUUUGGAGGUAGCUGCUAUUCUCAUCAUCAUCUCCAUUUUACAAAUGAAGAAACUGAGAUAUAGAGAGGUUAAAUAAUUUCCAAUACUAUAGCCAGGAAGUAGUGGAGCUAAAUUAGACCCAGCUGGUCUGACUUCAGAAUUGCACUUAGAAUCCCCUUUGGCCCAUGAGCAUGAUGAGUUCUCCAUUCUUUUACUUAAAAGAGUAUUGAUACGUAGUCAGCUACCAUCUGGGGUGGGGAUUGAGGGAUAAUGUUGAGAACUUAAGCAUCGCAUUUGCAAUACCAACAACACAAUCUUCCUCUAACAGCAAGUUUGCCAGAUUUGGUGUCUCAGCAACUCUGGAACCCAGCAUUGAAGCAAUCAGUUCUUUAGAGAGGGAGGUAGUUCGGCUGGAUAUCGUGGCUCACGCCUGUAAUUCUAGCACUUUGGGAGGCCAAGGAGGGGGUGGAUCACCUGAGGUCAGGAGUUCAAGACCAGCCUGGCCAACAUGGCAAAACCCCGUCUGUAUUAAAAAUACAAAAAUUAGCCAGGCAUGGUGGCGGGUGCCUGUAAUCCCAGCUACUUGGGAGGCUGAGGCAGGAGAAUUGCUUGAACCCGGGGGGUGGGGGUGGAGAUUGCAGUGAGCCAACAUUGUGCCACUUCACUCCAGCCUGGGCAUAAGAGCGAAACUCCAUCUUGGGGGAAAAAAAAAAGAGAGAGAGAGGGAGGUAGUUCCUGGACCUCUUGCUCAAAAUUUGGCUGUAUACUUGGGCACUAGUCCAGGUACUGGAGAGAUAGGUAGGAAUGGCUGAAGACCCAUCAGUCAGUGGUUUGCUAAAAUAAAGCUUCAGCAUCUGAGCUUCUCAUUGGAAAAGUUAGUGAACUAGCCCAGCCUGUAGGAGUUUUAUGGGGGCAGAAGUUAGCAGAAGGAGUCUUUUACCCAAGGCAGUAAUAACACCAUAAUCAACAAAGCAAGAAGAUCUGAGAGUCAGAAUUUAGCGGCAAGAGUCCUGGGCCUCUUGCCCAGACUCUGUUCGGCAAGAGUCGAACAGAGAAGAAAAGUUCGAACGGGUCCUGAUAUAGGGAAGACUAGAAGCAGACAUGAAAAGCCAAAGUAUAGAGCCUGGGAAACAGACGAGAGCCAGGUGUACUGGGUUCAACACUAGGUAACAGGGUGAUUCCUUGUGAAUGCCAAAACAAAGUGGUUGCAGGCAGCUGCAACCUUUGUUUCCAUGCCCUUUGCAAAGGGCAUGUGGAAGAAACAGUUGCAUUUAAGGGUUAGGGAUUCUGUGACUUGGCAGGGUUGUGAGUUUCCAGCAUUGAGACAAAUUGGUAACCAGAUCUGCUGGACUAGAGCCCAAUCUGCAAAGCUCCCUAAUGCAGAAGAGUCCACCGUUGUGUAAACAGAUUCUAUCUUCCCAUAGUUCCUGGAAACCGGAUAGCCUUCAUCUCACAUCUUCACUGUAUUCUAGAGAAAUGAGGGUAAUGUGUUGGGCAGGGCAGAGUAGAGAUGAAUAGUUGGGUAUGGCACAGGCGGCUACCUGUUGUAUCAGUGGGUAUGGUUUACCUCACAUAGGGCACCUACACGUGAAGAAAUGGACAACAGAACUGCUUUGUCUGUUGGCAUGGUUGUCUUAUUGGAGGACUGCAUUAUUGGAGGACUGGUUUCCUCUUCCCUACCAGGACAAUCCUCCGAAGUUCUUUGAGCUUUUUCUACUGCCUAUUUUUGCAGCCCAGGUCAGUUGAUCAGGAGGUGUGGCCUUGUAUUUGGUCCACCUUGAGUCAGAUGCCGCUCUGCUUACUGAGUAUUUUUAUAUUGGACUCAAAUCAUGAUAUGGAAUCAUUUGUAGACAGCAGACCCACCAAAAUUCUGCUGCGCAGUGACAGCAGGGCAGAUCACGGUGUUAACUGUAAUCAUCCUGGUAGGGAGAGGGUAUUUAUAUACUAUAGGACAGAUGGAGAGUGUGUACUGCUUUCAGAGGUGGAAUUGCAGGCUACCUGGGAGGCAAUGAAUUUCCGCAACCUCUCCAAAAGCAAAGAUAGAAGACAUGCCUUUCUAUCUCUUCACCUCUGAUGCAUUCAGAGCUACAUCAUAAUGUUGCACAAGGUCCCCUUUAAGAGUAGGUGUAGCCUGUUAGAGUCCAGGCAGGGCAUAUGAACAUAGAACAAGUAACUUCUCCUACACUCAGUCGAAAGGCCACAACCUCCACACAGAAGGUGAGGUUCUUCCUGAGCACAAUAAUGUAGUUGCCAGAUCUUCCACAUGGCUGUAUCAAUGGGCUUGACUCUGGAGCCUUAGAUUUGGGCAAGAACAUUUAAUCAUCCCUUGAAGGACCACCAGCUAGGAUUGUUACCAUGAGAGAAUAUGGGGAGGAGCUAUUUAAGAGGAUCCAAAAUGAUGUGCUGCAGGGCUCCAGGCUCAUUUUAUUGUGUCAGUCUUAUUUAAAGGUGUAAGUUUCUCAAGCAGUGACUAGUUCAGGGAAAAAGAAAAAAAAUAAAGGCAUAAGGCUCAAACAAUCCUUUAACUGACCUCUAAGCAGGUAAUAAAUAUUACUACUUUUUUUCUUAUAGUUUCUUAUUUUUUACCUUUUUUAUGUUCAACUCUUUAGUCCACUUGAGAUUUUUUUUCUGGUAUGUUAUGUGAAACAUAAAUCACAUGGACACUUUUAUAUGGGGCACUGUCACGUGCAGGAUUACAAAUACCUGUUGUAUUUAUUCAUUCAGUCAUCCAUUACCAGUUCAAGGCACAUUGUUAGGGACCAGAGAUGAUAAACAUCAAAAAGAAUGUGCUUCUUAAUCGGUAGCAGCUUAUUGUCCAUUUAAGGAGAUCAGAGGUACAUAAAUUACUGUAUAUACAAAGCAGCAUGUAAAAAGUGCCAUGUGAGUGAUGCGAACAAGAAAGAAUAUAAAAUAUAAGGAUUGUUUUUUAUUUUUACCUGAGGGCAUAUUAGGGAACUAGCAGUAGAUUCCUUCUGCCUGGAAUAAGAGUUUUCCCAGAAGAAGUGUCACUUGAGAUGUACCUACAGGGACAGGUAGCAAUCUUAAUCAUGACUUGUUGGAUAUAAUGAACAGAAAUCCUCUUGUAUCAUCUCAAUUUAAAAAGGGAGCUAUCCACUUAUCUUGCUUCUAAGAAUCUAUUCUAAAAGUAAACUGGCUAAAACAUAUAAUGACCUAUGCACAUAGCUAUUUUUUAUGGUAUUACUUGCAAUAGCAAAAGACUGAGAACAACCCAAAUAUUAUCAAUAUGGGGCUAGUUUAAAAAACUAUGAUACAUCCACAUAAUGGAGGACUGUGCAUCAAUAAAAAGAAAAGAGAUGAAGAUCUCCAUGAAGCUCCAGGAAAGCUGGUUCAAAAUGGUGCUUAUGGUAUACACCUUUAGCACAAGAAGCAGGAAAGGAUAUGAAAAUGUAUACAUAAAUGCUUAUGUUUGUAAAAAGAUACAAUCGAAAGAUAAACCCAAAAUCAAUAAAAAUGUUAAACAAAUGGAGAAGGAGGGAAUAGAGUGAAGGGCAUAGAAAUAGUGCUAUGGAGAAGAAAUACAUCGAGAAAGGAGGAUAGGGAAUGUGGGUGAGGGCAGAAUUGCAAUUUUAUUAUUUAUUUAUUUUGAAACAAGGCCUUGCUCUGUCACCCAGGCUGGAGUGCAGUGGUGCAAUCUCAGCUCACUGCAAUCUCUGCCUCCUGGGCUGAAGCAGUCCUCCCACUUCAGCCCCCAGAGUGGCUGGGACCACAGGCAUAUACCACCGCGCCCAGCUAAUUUUUCUAUUUUUUGUAGAGAUGGAGUUUUGCUGUGUUGCACAGGCUGGUCUCCAAAUUCUGUACUCAAGUGAUCCACCCGCCUUGGCCUCCCACAGUGCUGGGAUUACAGGUGUGAGCCAUUGCUCCUGGCCAAGAUUACAAUUUUAUUUUAUUUUUUUGAGAGAGAGUCUCUCUGUGUCACCCAGGCUGGAGUGCUGUGGCGCAAUCUCGGCUCACUGCAACCUCGCCUCCCUGAUUCAAGUGAUUCUCCUGCCUCAGCCUCCCAAGCAGCUGAGAUUACAGGUGCCCACCACCAGGCCCAGCUAAUUUUUGUUAUUUUUGUAGAGACAGGGUUUCACCAUAUUGGCCAGGCUGGUCUCGAACUCCGGACCUCAAGUAAUCCACCCACCUUGGCCUCCCAAAAUGCUGGGAUUACAGGCGUGAGCCACUGUGCCCGGCCGGGAUUGCAAUUUUAAAUAGGGUGCUCAGGGCAGGCCUCGCCUAGAAGAUGAUGUUUGAACAAAACUCUGAAGGAGGGUGAGGGAGCCAACCAGGCAGGAAACUGCGGAUGAGCAUACCAAGCAGAAGAGCAAGUACAAAGGCCCUGAGGCAAUAAUGUGCCUGGCUUCAGGGAAAAACAAGGUUGGAUGACUAAACUGGAAUGAGUGUCAAAGAGCGUGGUGGAAAAUGAAGUCAGAGAGAUGGAGGAAAGAUUCCUUACAGCCUGUAGUCAGUUGUGAAGACUGACUUUUACUCCGUAUGACAUAAGACAAGGCAGGAUUUGAGCCGAGGAGUGACAGGACCUAACUUAUAUUUUGAUGGGCUCUCUCUCUGUUUCUUGCAUGUUUGCCAUUUGCCCCCUUCCCCCUUAUUCUAUCUCAGAACCCCUGCUUACUCAUGUUCUGUGUUCUCUAACAUCAGUCUACAUGUGGCGUUGGGUUUGGUGUUGUAACAACUGGUGACAUUUCAGUUCAUGUGACUACUAUGACCUAAUCACUCAGUCUCUCAGUGUCCCAAUUCCAGAUUCUUGGGUGACAUAAUAUUAGACUCACAUAUUAUUAGACUAACUAAUAUUAGCCCACCAUGGUACAGCAUGCUGAGGCUGGAGUCAGAAGUGAGCAGAAUCCUGUAAUAUUUCCAAGAGGGAAUAUGGGCAGACAGGCAAUGGUUAGCACAUCAACUUCAUCAAGUACUUCAAAUAUUUUGGUUUCUCAAUAAAUAUAUACAUGAGUUAAUAAAUCUAGCAUAUUUAGUAAACAACUUAUAAUCCUACCUACUGUUGUAAUGCUCAGUAACCACUUCAGAGUAACAGUAAUAAUAGAUGACUUUAUACUAAAUGAUGGCUUUACACUAAAACAGGUUUCUAAAACUAUCUGUGGUAAGAACCAGUUUUCUUAUUUGUAUUUCCAAAUAGUCUCCAUAGGAGAAUGAUGUUUUUGUAAAAUAUGCUAAAAAUGAAUUCCUUGACAAAUUAAAUUUUAAAAAGAUAUGCAAAAUUGAAAAAAUUUUUUUUGUUAUUAGAUUCAACAGACAGAAGAUUGCUACGUCAAAUUGCUCUAGGUUUCUAAAUGCUUAGUCUCAAUUUCUGUACUGAUCACACACCAGUAACAGUUCCAUACUUUAAAUAGCACUGUACUAAAACUCACUUAUCUAAAUAGUAAAUUUUAUAAUAAUGAUGGUCAAUUAAUGGCAUUUAAUAUUCUGAAUGAACAUUAAAGAAU